This 1047-nucleotide long non-coding RNA is filed under the name Homo sapiens (human). Its description in RNAcentral is "HSALNT0046776". The record is from RNAcentral. Lineage: Eukaryota; Metazoa; Chordata; Mammalia; Primates; Hominidae.
CUUUUUUUGCUCCCUUUUCUCCCUUGAUCCUUCAUGAGCCCGCUUAGGUCUCUUCCAAACGAAUUUUCCUUUCUUUCCUAUUCUAAAGCCUUUUAAAAUAAACUCCUCUUCCUGUUCUGGAACUUGCCCCGGUCUCGGUCUCUUUUUCUGCUUUAUGCCCCUCAGUCGAAUUCUUUCUUCUGAGCAGGCAAAGGCUGAAUUUGCUCCAGACACCUAUGGAUUUGCCGUCGUCUCCUGCCUCUAAAAUUACGCUCCACAAGACAAACUCAUCCACUCCUCCGUCUUCUCAUCCCCAAGGCCUAAGACAUCUCUGACCUUAUCUCCAAAUACAGUCACCUUCCAAGAUACUGAGGAUUAAGACAUCAACAUAUGGAUUUAAGGGGACACAAUUCAACCCCUUGCAAAGAGCUACAGAUAUCUUUAUUCUACUACUCAUAAAAUGUCUUAGGAAUACAAUAGCCAUUAGAACAUUAACUGGUUGCAAAAGGUUGAAUUGCUGAAGAAACCAGCUGUUUUUCAGAAAGAGAAAAAGCUUUCAUGCAGCAUUCUUCAUUUAGAAUACAUUGUUAUGCAGGUAUAUACAGCAAGUUAGUGUGUACAUUGAGAAAGACCCAGCAUAAAGUCACAGAGGACUCUGGUGCCAAAUCAUCUGAGUAUUUAUUUGAAUACUGGCUCUGUUUCUGACCAGCUGUGUGACUUUCCCAGCUUGGUGGAAUCUCCCUCUGUCAACCAGGCUGGAGUGCAUUGGCUUGAUGUCAGAUCUUGGAUCACCGCAGCCUCCGUCUCCUGGGUUCAAGUGAUUCUCCCGCCUCAGCCUCUCGAGCAGCUGGGACUACAGGAAGGCACCACCAUGCCUGGCUAAUUAUAAGUCUUUUGACUCACUCUUGUUCGUCCUACUUUCUUUUGCUUUUAUAUUCCAGUCAAACCAAAUUUCUCAUGGCUUUACGCAACUUUGACUUUAUAAGUUCUGCCCUACCAGCCUCUUGGACUUACCUUCUCUAUUUUUAACUGCCUAGUUCUUAUUAAAGACUGAAGUAAAGCACCUGC